AUUGAACGCUGGCGGCAUGCCUUACACAUGCAAGUCGAACGGCAGCGGGGGAGAAGCUUGCUUUUCCUGCCGGCGAGUGGCGAACGGGUGAGUAAUACAUCGGAACGUGCCCUGUAGUGGGGGAUAACUAGUCGAAAGAUUAGCUAAUACCGCAUACGACCUGAGGGUGAAAGUGGGGGACCGCAAGGCCUCAUGCUAUAGGAGCGGCCGAUGUCUGAUUAGCUAGUUGGUGGGGUAAAGGCCUACCAAGGCGACGAUCAGUAGCUGGUCUGAGAGGACGAUCAGCCACACGGGGACUGGGACACGGCCCAGACUCCUACGGGAGGCAGCAGUGGGGAAUUUUGGACAAUGGGCGAAAGCCUGAUCCAGCAAUGCCGCGUUUGUGAAGAAGGCCUCCGGGUUGUAAAGCACUUUUGUCCGGAAAGAAAUGGCUCUGGUUAAUACCUGGGGUCGAUGACGGUACCGGAAGAAUAAGGACCGGCUAACUACGUGCCAGCAGCCGCCGUAA
RNAcentral lists this ribosomal RNA (508 nucleotides) under uncultured bacterium. Its description in RNAcentral is "partial 16S ribosomal RNA". It matches the Rfam family "Bacterial small subunit ribosomal RNA", at positions 30 to 523 of the family's 1533-position model. The record is from RNAcentral.